UACGAGAGGCCCAAACGUUAUUCGGAUUUACUGGGCUUAAAGAGUUCGUAGGCGGCAUGAAAAGCAGGGUGUGAAAGCCCUCGGCUUAACCGAGGAAUUGCGCCCUGAACUGUCGUGCUAGAGGAAUCUAGAGGUGAGCGGAACUGAUGGUGGAGCGGUGAAAUGCGUUGAUAUCAUCAGGAACACCGGAGGCGAAGGCGGCUCACUGGGGGUUUUCUGACGCUGAGGAACGAAAGCCAGGGGAGCGAACGGG
RNAcentral lists this ribosomal RNA (253 nucleotides) under uncultured bacterium. Its description in RNAcentral is "partial 16S ribosomal RNA". It matches the Rfam family "Bacterial small subunit ribosomal RNA", at positions 524 to 776 of the family's 1533-position model. The record is from RNAcentral.